Molecule: unclassified non-coding RNA, 253 nt
Filed under: uncultured Gammaproteobacteria bacterium
Lineage: Bacteria; Pseudomonadati; Pseudomonadota; Gammaproteobacteria
Description: contains 16S-23S intergenic spacer region
Rfam family: Bacterial small subunit ribosomal RNA
Source: RNAcentral
UACGGAGGGUGCGAGCGUUAAUCGGAAUUACUGAGCGUAAAGCGCGCGUAGGCGGCUUGGUAAGUCGGAUGUGAAAGCCCUGGGCUCAACCUGGGAAUUGCAUUCGAUACUGCCGAACUAGAGUAUGGUAGAGGGAAGUGGAAUUUCCGGUGUAGCGGUGAAAUGCGUAGAUAUCGGAAGGAACACCAGUGGCGAAGGCGACUUCCUGGGCCAAUACUGACGCUGAGGUACGAAAGUGUGGGGAGCAAACAGG